Molecule: ribosomal RNA, 255 nt
Filed under: uncultured bacterium
Lineage: Bacteria
Description: partial 16S ribosomal RNA
Rfam family: Bacterial small subunit ribosomal RNA
Source: RNAcentral
GCAAGUCGAGGGGUAACAGGGAAAAGCUUGCUUUUUUGCUGACGACCGGCGAACGGGUGCGUAACGCGUAUAGAAUCUGCCUUGUACAGGAGGAUAGCCUUUAGAAAUGAAGAUUAAUACUCCAUAAUAUUGAGAAGCGGCAUCGCUUUUUAAUUAAACAUUUAUGGGUACAAGAUGACUAUGCGUCCUAUUAGCUAGAUGGUAAGGUAACGGCUUACCAUGGCAACGAUAGGUAGGGGGUCUGAGAGGAUUAUC